GAUGAACGCUGGCGGCGUGCCUAAUACAUGCAAGUCGAACGGACUCUUAUUUGUUCUGCGCUCCGAACCUUCGGGUACGGAUUGCUGAACAGUAAGAGUUAGUGGCGGACGGGUGAGUAACACGUUAGUACCUGCCCUUUAGUGGGGAAUAACUCGGCGAAAGUCGAGCUAAUACCGCAUGUGACCGUUUACGGUUAAAGACUUCGGUCGCUAAAGGAGGGGCUUGCGUCUGAUUAGCUAGUUGGUAGGGUAAUGGCCUACCAAGGCGACGAUCAGUAGCUGGUUCGAGAGGAUGACCAGCCACACUGGGACUGAGAUACGGCCCAGACUCCUACGGGAGGCAGCAGUAAGGAAUCUUCCGCAAUGGACGAAAGUCUGACGGAGCAACGCCGCGUGCAGGAUGACGGCCUUCGGGUUGUAAACUGCUUUUCUGAAGGAAGAUUAUGACGGUACUUCAGGAAUAAGGACCGGCUAACUACGUGCCAGCCGCCGCCGUAAUAC
This 501-nucleotide ribosomal RNA is filed under the name uncultured bacterium. Its description in RNAcentral is "bacterial SSU rRNA". It matches the Rfam family "Bacterial small subunit ribosomal RNA", at positions 28 to 526 of the family's 1533-position model. The record is from RNAcentral.